UACGUUCCCGGGUCUUGUACACACCGCCCGUCACACCACGAAAGUUGGCAAUACCCGAAGUCGGUGUCCUAACCGUAAGGAGGGAGCCGCCGAAGGUAGGGUCGAUGAUUGGGGUG
RNAcentral lists this ribosomal RNA (116 nucleotides) under uncultured bacterium. RNAcentral describes it as "partial 16S ribosomal RNA". It matches the Rfam family "Bacterial small subunit ribosomal RNA", at positions 1367 to 1482 of the family's 1533-position model. The record is from RNAcentral.